Long non-coding RNA from Megalops cyprinoides (Indo-Pacific tarpon), 799 nucleotides. RefSeq lists it as uncharacterized. The record is from RefSeq and is a predicted model, not a curated record. NCBI's taxonomy places the organism in Eukaryota, Metazoa, Chordata, Actinopteri, Elopiformes, Megalopidae. The transcript is spliced from 4 exons.
GGUCCUUACCUUGCUGUAGCAGCGCUGCUGGCAUUCAGUGCAUGUGGGACGCAAAUGUUUAAGGAUUGCCCUACCCCACAUGGUGCGGCAGUCCCGGGGACUAUAUUUUGGUAACUGUUAUGUGCAGGAUUACAUCAAAAUCAAUUCAGGACAGCACCGACCGGUGACUACUCCAGAUCAACAGGUCUUUAUCUUAGAAGUGGUGAAAGCGUAGGAUGAUGGGUCGUGGCCUCUCCGUGCCGAGGACAUCAGCAAGAAAUUGGGAGAAGAACAUGGAUGGACGAGGGCCUUCAAUCAAUUCAGUCUGCCCAGCCUAACAGAGAGGGUGAUUCGUGCCACUGCCCCCCCCCCCCAGCACGGCCAUAGUUCCUGCUCCGGAGCUGCGUGAGGAUGACAAGCAGUGAACAUCAGUGUCGGAAGGCAACGGUCCGGACCAAGAACAUCAGCAGCACUCCAUCCUUUUCUUUUGGGGUUUUGUAUUUUUAUUUUGGGGCGCAAGUGAGACCCAGCAUUGAGGCGCUGGGCCUUUUUUUCCUUGUAUGCGUGUGUGCGUGUGUGUGAGGACCUACUCCUCCUUGGCAUGUGGUACCCCCCCCCCCUUGGGUAGCCAGGAGAUGAAGCAGAGUGGUCACAGUGUGGUGUGCGAGAGUGCACGGGGAUAUCUGUAUGAUGUGCCUAACUUGCAGUGCUGUGUGGGAGAGGGCAAUCUCUCUCCUGGCGCCGGGCCCUUGUGGGGAGAGAGCGGGACAAGGAAAGGUGGUGAAGGGGGGAGAAAGGUUAGGAACGGAGAUCAGCAGAG